GCGGGGAUGUCCGAGCUGGUCAAAGGAGGCAGGCUCAGGACCUGCUGGCGUAGAGAGUCCCGUUUCCGGGAGCCGCGAAAGCCUGCGCGAGUUCGAAUAGAGACAUCACCAUGAUGCCCCUCGAGUAUCUCGCUCCCCGCACCA
Molecule: transfer RNA, 144 nt
Filed under: Candidatus Jordarchaeia archaeon
Lineage: Archaea; Promethearchaeati; Candidatus Jordarchaeia
Description: tRNA-Leu
Source: RNAcentral